This 253-nucleotide ribosomal RNA is filed under the name uncultured bacterium. Its description in RNAcentral is "partial 16S ribosomal RNA". It matches the Rfam family "Bacterial small subunit ribosomal RNA", at positions 524 to 776 of the family's 1533-position model. The record is from RNAcentral.
UACGGAGGGGGCUAGCGUUGUUCGGAAUUACGGGGCGUAAAGCGCGCGUCGGCGGACCUGCAAGUCGGGGGUGAAAGCCCGAGGCUCAACCUCGGAACUGCCUUCGAUACUGCGGGUCUCGAGUCCGGGAGAGGUGAGUGGAAUUCCUAGUGUAGAGGUGAAAUUCGUAGAUAUUAGGAAGAACACCAGUGGCGAAGGCGGCUCACUGGCCCGGUACUGACGCUGAGGCGCGAAAGCGUGGGGAGCAAACAGG